Molecule: ribosomal RNA, 511 nt
Filed under: uncultured bacterium
Lineage: Bacteria
Description: partial 16S ribosomal RNA
Rfam family: Bacterial small subunit ribosomal RNA
Source: RNAcentral
GACGAACGCUGGCGGCGUGCCUAAUACAUGCAAGUAGAACGCUGAAGGAGGAGCUUACUUCUCUGGAUGAGUUGCGAACGGGUGAGUAACGCGUAGGUAACCUGCCUGGUAGCGGGGGAUAACUAUUGGAAACGAUAGCUAAUACCGCAUAAGAGUAGAUGUUGCAUGACAUUUACUUAAAAGGUGCAAUUGCACCACUACCCGAUGGACCUGCGUUGUAUUAGCUAGUUGGUGGGGUAACGGCUUACCAAGGCGACGAUACAUAGCAGACCGGCGUGGGGGAUGGGCCACACUGGGACUGAGACACGGGCCAGACGCCGACAUGCGGCAGCAGGAGGGAAGCGUCGGCAAUGGACGGAAGUGUUACCGGGCAACGCGGCGUGGGUGAAGAAGGUUGUCGGGUCGUAGAGGACUGUUGUAAGAGAAGAACGAGUGUGAGAGUGGAAAGUUCACACUGUGACGGUAUCUUACCAGAAAGGGCCGGCGAACUACGUGCCAGCCGCCGCGGUAA